GACGAACGCUGGCGGCGUGCUUAACACAUGCAAGUCGUACGGUAAGGCCCUUUCGGGGGUACACGAGUGGCGAACGGGUGAGUAACACGUGAGUAACCUGCCCACAACUUUGGGAUAACGCUAGGAAACUGGUGCUAAUACUGGAUAUGUGCUCCUGCUGCAUGGUGGGGGUUGGAAAGCUCCGGCGGUUGUGGAUGGACUCGCGGCCUAUCAGCUUGUUGGUGGGGUAGUGGCCUACCAAGGCGGCGACGGGUAGCCGGCCUGAGAGGGUGACCGGCCACAUUGGGACUGAGAUACGGCCCAGACUCCGACGGGAGGCAGCAGGGGGGAAUAUUGCACAAUGGGCGCAAGCCUGAUGCAGCAACGCCGCGUGCGGGAGGACGGCCUUCGGGUUGUAAACCGCUUUCAGCAGGGACGAAGCUUUUUGUGACGGUACCUGCAGAAGAAGCACCGGCUAACUACGUG
Molecule: ribosomal RNA, 465 nt
Filed under: uncultured bacterium
Lineage: Bacteria
Description: partial 16S ribosomal RNA
Rfam family: Bacterial small subunit ribosomal RNA
Source: RNAcentral